UACAGAGGUCUCAAGCGUUGUUCGGAUUCACUGGGCGUAAAGCGCACGUAGGCGGAUGUGUCAGUCAGGGGUGAAAUCCCGGGGCUCAACCUCGGAACUGCCUUUGAUACAGCACGUCUCGAGUCCGGAAGAGGUGGGUGGAAUUCCUAGUGUAGAGGUGAAAUUCGUAGAUAUUAGGAAGAACACCGGUGGCGAAGGCGGCCCACUGGGCCGGUACUGACGCUGAGGUGCGAAAGCGUGGGGAGCAAACAGG
This 253-nucleotide ribosomal RNA is filed under the name uncultured bacterium. RNAcentral describes it as "partial 16S ribosomal RNA". It matches the Rfam family "Bacterial small subunit ribosomal RNA", at positions 524 to 776 of the family's 1533-position model. The record is from RNAcentral.